Molecule: ribosomal RNA, 159 nt
Filed under: Triticum aestivum (bread wheat)
Lineage: Eukaryota; Viridiplantae; Streptophyta; Magnoliopsida; Poales; Poaceae
Description: partial small subunit ribosomal RNA
Source: RNAcentral
UUAGCAACGCUCACAGCUUGGUGCAUCUGGAAACACCGCAACCGCUGCUUGUUCGACGGCGAUACCCACUCCAUCUCGAGGCUGUUUGCGUCUAUUCAGGACGAGGCUAGGGCCUAGGCUCGGGCUGGUGCUCGCGGACUAAAUCUAUUGUUGGCAUAG